AGAUUACAGGCGUGAGCCAUUGCACCCGGCCUAAAAAAUCUUUAACAUAUUAUAUUAAGCAGUUUUAGUUGGUUUAUUGUUAUUUUUUAGAUGGAUUGCUGUCUUAUGGACUCACAGAAAAUUGGAUUAGAUUGGAAGGAUAUACCAGGGACUGUAACAUGCAGAACUCUUUGAGGACCAGGGUUUAGCUUGAAUUCCCCUGUCUGUCCACGAGAUCCAAGUUUGUGAUCAUU
RNAcentral lists this long non-coding RNA (233 nucleotides) under Homo sapiens (human). Its description in RNAcentral is "HSALNT0262209". Lineage: Eukaryota; Metazoa; Chordata; Mammalia; Primates; Hominidae. The record is from RNAcentral.